CUCUUCGGGGAUGAUUAAACCGGCGCACGGGUGAGUAACACGUGAGUGACCUGCCUUUUAGACUGGAACAACUUACCGAAAGGUGAGUUAAUGCCGGAUGAGUUAUAUAAGUGCAUGUUUAUAUAGGAAAAGUUGGGGAGACCUGACGCUGAAAGAUGGACUCGCGUCCCAUUAGCUAGUUGGUAGGGUAAUGGCCUACCAAGGCGACGAUGGGUAGCCGGCCUGAGAGGGUGGCCGGCCACACUGGGACUGAGACACGGCCCAGACUCCUACGGGAGGCAGCAGUGGGGAAUUUUGCGCAAUGCUCGUAAGAGUGACGCAGCGACGCCGCGUGAAUGACGAAGGCCUUCGGGUCGUAAAGUUCUUUCGACAGGGAAGAAAAUGCCCUAUAAGUAACUGUGUAUGUA
RNAcentral lists this ribosomal RNA (407 nucleotides) under uncultured bacterium. RNAcentral describes it as "bacterial SSU rRNA". It matches the Rfam family "Bacterial small subunit ribosomal RNA", at positions 76 to 487 of the family's 1533-position model. The record is from RNAcentral.